CACCAUCCACAGAGACUUUUUUUUUAAAUGCACUAAUGCUACAUUCACAAGUUGGAAGUAAGUGGCAAAUGGGAAACUGGAUGUUGCAUUAUUUUCAGCCAGGGGAUGACAGAAAAUUACGCCACUGUUGGCUGUGUCGGCACCAGUAUGUGCCAU
Molecule: long non-coding RNA, 156 nt
Organism: Thalassophryne amazonica
Lineage: Eukaryota; Metazoa; Chordata; Actinopteri; Batrachoidiformes; Batrachoididae
Exons: 3
Source: RefSeq, a predicted model, not a curated record